CAGCGUUCCGUCACAAUGCCUCAUAGUUUGUUUAUAUGUUAGUGCAUUUGGAUUCGGGGCGGUUUUGGUGGGCCUUCUCUGCCCCUACUAUAUCCUUGUUUUCUUCCUCCUCUGCCUAUCUCCCUGAUGCUAUAUUUCUGUGUUUUAUGUUACCUCUGCCCUUUCUAUGGCCGGCUGUAUAUGUGCCGCUCGGGGGUUUGCUGGAGGCUGCCAGUCUCAUGCCUCCUCCGACUCCCCGGGCUCCGGAACUGCAGGAGUCACCUCCAGCUGUCCCAUGCUUUUCCUG
Non-coding RNA from Pelobates cultripes (western spadefoot toad), 286 nucleotides. The record is from the annotation of a GenBank genome assembly. NCBI's taxonomy places the organism in Eukaryota, Metazoa, Chordata, Amphibia, Anura, Pelobatidae.